GCUUGAAUAGUUUAUUUAAAACAUUAAUUUGUGGAAUUAAAGAUAUAUUAUUUUUAUUUCAGGCA
This 65-nucleotide transfer RNA is filed under the name Brachycerus muricatus. RNAcentral describes it as "tRNA-His". Lineage: Eukaryota; Metazoa; Arthropoda; Insecta; Coleoptera; Brachyceridae. The record is from RNAcentral.